Molecule: long non-coding RNA, 889 nt
Organism: Carassius gibelio (silver crucian carp)
Lineage: Eukaryota; Metazoa; Chordata; Actinopteri; Cypriniformes; Cyprinidae
Exons: 4
Source: RefSeq, a predicted model, not a curated record
CAGAUAUCAGUCUGUGUUCUUCAGGAGAAGCGGCUUCCGGUUUGCGACAGACGUUAAUCAUCCACGCCGCAGGGAUGGGCGCAUCGAUCUGAGCUAUCGGUAUAUCGAUACUCGAGCAAAUAAUAUCGAUACUAAGAAGGAUCAGUGGAUAUGAUAUUCAUUCAGGCAGAGCUGGACUAUGAGAGAGUCAUGGCAGAAAUAAAGGUCAUUAUAGAAGUCAGUUCCAGCACAGCUUUCCUUCAUUCAUCCUCUUCUGGAUGCUUUGGCAGAUCUCCCUGAAUGCUAUGGAGUCAAAAGUAUCCAAACCGACUGGUCUGGUGACUGCUCAGGCUGCUUUUUCAACCACAUAUCGAAGAGUCUUUGUCCUCCCACCCUGUCAUGUGAAAUAAUGCGAAAAUAUCAACUGACUCCACCAGAACUCAUUGUCUCAGAUCUCAUCUCAUCAGAGCCUAGUUCAGACCCAGCCAGACUAAAGUGGCUUGUUUCUGGAAGCUCUUGUCCCCUGGAGGCUACAGGGAUCAUUACCACUGUGUCAUGGAGGUGGUGAAGAUGUGCGCUCAGAUAGCACCUCCUCACUGUGAAGGGUAUUAAUAGACUCCUCUCUGACCAUGAAGCGAACUAAUGUUGGCAGAGCCACUGAAGGCUGAUAGACAGAUAGACACAUGAAUAGAGAGACAAAUGCGUCUUAUGUGCCUGAUUUCAUGCAUUUGUUAAAUAUACACUUUGCAUACACAGACACAGAAAUGUGGAUCAGUAGGGGUCGAACAUUAUGGGUUUUUAGAGGCUGAUGCCAAUAUCUGUAAAGCAGGGUGGCUGAUGGAUGAUUUGAUGCUGAUGUUAAUAAUGACAAAAAAGAGAGGCAAUAAAAAGGCCAAAAUGUGCAUUUGGA